UAUGGUUUAAUAAAUCAUCUUUAUUUGUAACAGUUCAACAUUAUGAAGGCAUUUUGGUAUUUUUUAUACCUUACGACAACAUUGGUCAUUGAUCUACCCUUGUUUGGACCCUUGUAUUCAGCUUAUCAAACUGUUAUUGAAGAUGGUAAACAUCACAAUUAAAAAUCUAACAACAGACAACUAUGUAAUACAUAUGAACAGCAAUCAAGAUAUGUGGGUUGAAGGGAUGACCCCUAAAAUUUCUUAUAGGCCUACUUUAUAUCAAAGUACUAAAGUUCACAUUGACUGGCCCAGUGGUUUUCCUUUAGUCAAAUGACAUUAAAAGUAGAACAGGUAAACAAAACAUCUCAUAUUAGUCCAAUAUUUGCAUGUCAACUGGAUUCAAAAUAACAUGACAGAAUAAACGCUAGAAUUCACCUCUUAUUCACAUGUCAUUCUAUAGUAUUUAGCUUUUAAUAUUAAAUAAACACUGACCCCAUCAACAUAAAAUUUUCAUUUCAUUCCAUAAAUUGUAUUUUUAAUGCAUUUUGAAUUUGAAAAAAAAAUUAAUGUUGCCUUCUUUGCUUUGCCUUUUUACAUAAUGAAAUCUGUUUAAAGCUUGCAAUUAAAUAUGGUACCAUUUAUUGAUUAAAUUGUGAAAAUAAAACUGCUUAAAAAUACAAAACAACCAUAAUUGAGAGUAGAAUAUAUUUAGUAAAAAAUGUUUUUCUCUCUUUCUCUAAAUUUAAAAUAAUACAUGAGCAAUUGUUUCAGUGCAUUGUUUCCAUUUUUAUUAUUAUUAUUAUAAAGAUUUAGAAUUAAGAAUAUGGUGGUAACAAUAAACAUUUUUGCAUGCACAGAAGCACUGUUUGUUUUUCCUUUAUUAUCACAGUCACAACUAAUUAUAGUUAAAUAAAAUUAAUAUAUUAUUUUAUAUUAAUUCAACAUAAUUAAACAUACAUUUAAUGUGUAUUAUAAUUAUAAUAAUCUCUUAUUCACAAAAUAACAUGUAGCAUAACUCUGUCUUCCUUUAUUCUGUCUCCACAUGAUGUAAGCGUAGUGAAAGAGGCUGUUGAUAUAUACAUAUCAUAAAUGAGUUAUUAUUGUUUAUAAGCCAGCUUGAAUCAUAUGUAACCCUUGCUCCAGCUUCCAUCAGAGGGAUUGACUUUAUUUUCUUAAUACAUAUUUUUAAAAAAUAAAUUAAAAAAAGACAACUUCAGCUAUUGCCACUGUGCUCCUUUACAUAGUAAAAUCAUCAUGUAAUAAAUAAGGUCCAAGAGAAAAAGAAAAAAACAACAACAACAACAACAACAACAAAAGAACUCCCUCAGUCUUUCUGUUUCACACAUACACACACAUCAGGAUUACAUAUGCAUCUCCUGCCUUCUCCCAGUAGGAUCAAGCUGAGAAAAGAAGUCACAGGUCUUGCGCAUAGCCAGGAGUGCCGGUUUACCUAAAGGAGAGCCGAGGUCACGUCCCGCGAAGCUUUGCUCUCCUACUGGAGUGUGUGCAUGUGUGUGUGAGAGAGAGAGAGGGUGAAAGAGAGAGAGAUAUAGUGGGUUUAUUUAGAGAAAGGCAGUAUUUUCCCUCGGGAAGCCAGAGGAAUUGAAGCUGUGUGCUGAGGGGAGGGGCACCUUUCUCUGCACGUGAAUGAAAGGGGCGCACUAAAACCCACUUGUGUGCUGGCAUGAUUGUUUACCAUGACCUCGACUUCACCAAAGGUCCUGAACCGACAUCCUGGCUGUCACAGUAAUGCUGGGCAGGAGCCAGCCACGUCCUGCCCGGGUCCAUGGUACCGACCUUUUCUUAGCUCGCUCUGGACUACUAGCAUGUCACAUCCAUCAGGCAAUGCAUCGAACGGCACACAUUUCUCCAACAGUCCACAAGAUCCUGCUCUAUAAAACACCGUACAAGCAAAGCUAAAGAGGAACAAGCCUCAACCUUUUUCAUCUUAGAUCUACUGCGAGCGAGGACCGAUGUGACCACUGCUCCUCAUGAGCUCAACUUUCAUGUAAGCCGGCGACAGAUGCAGCUUUUGGGUCUCUUUUGGGGGGCCUCUCCCCAAUAUUUUAAGCCCAAUUUUCUAUGGUUUGAUUUAGGGACGAUGGGCUUGAUGCCGGGAGUGAGACAGCAGGCUCAGC
This is a long non-coding RNA of Cyprinus carpio carpio, 2120 nucleotides long. Lineage: Eukaryota; Metazoa; Chordata; Actinopteri; Cypriniformes; Cyprinidae. The record is from Ensembl.